AUAUAGACGCUCGGAUCUGCCUCUCGCAUCUUGUGAAUCUAAAUAAUAAAAUAUAGCAUAGAAAUCGGGGGGGGGGGGAAUCCAAGUUUGGGUGAAGCAGAGUUAGUCCUGCAUGAGUCCGAAUUGCAUGGUCGCGGAAAACUGUGGCUCUUAAGAUCUUUGGGCGAUAAAAACGAUAAAAAGAUGGUUCGUAAGAACGCGAUUGUAUAUGUAGUCUGCCUGUUUCCUAUAGAAAAAGCACAAAUGUCUGCCACGGUAUAAGCCCCUAUCACCUCUGCUGGGAAGCUCUUCUAUUCAUCUACAACCCUUACUUUAAGAGACAUUCAGACUUCUAUUCUUUUCUUUAAACAGAUGUCUCGCAGGAAACGGCCGGUUAUCUGCGACACGCUUCAGGUGGGCACUAAGGAUGACAGGGUGGGCAUUGGGCAAUAAUUGUGCCCCAACGCUAAGCAGAUGGUGUUGGCUUAAUUAAAGCUGUUCUUUUUUUUAACGUUAA
Molecule: long non-coding RNA, 496 nt
Organism: Spea bombifrons (plains spadefoot toad)
Lineage: Eukaryota; Metazoa; Chordata; Amphibia; Anura; Pelobatidae
Exons: 2
Source: RefSeq, a predicted model, not a curated record